GAUGAAGAACGUAGCGAAAUGCGAUACGUAAUGUGAAUUGCAGAAUUCAGUGAAUCAUCGAGUCUUUGAACGCACAUUGCGCCCCCUGGUAUUCCGGGGGGCAUGCCUGUCCGAGCGUCAUUGCUGCCCUCAAGCACGGCUUGUGUGUUGGGCCUCCGUCCUCCUCCCGGGGGACGGGCCCGAAAGGCAGCGGCGGCACCGCGUCCGGUCCUCGAGCGUAUGGGGCUUCGUCACCCGCUCUUGUAGGCCCGGCCGGCGCCCGCCGGCGACCCCCCUCAAUCUUUCCAGGUUGACCUCGGAUCAGGUAGGGAUACCCGCUGAACUUAAGCAUAUCAAUAAGCGGAGGA
RNAcentral lists this unclassified non-coding RNA (347 nucleotides) under soil metagenome. RNAcentral describes it as "partial contains 5.8S ribosomal RNA, internal transcribed spacer 2, and large subunit ribosomal RNA". The stretch from base 1 to 120 matches the Rfam family "5.8S ribosomal RNA", at positions 35 to 154 of the family's 154-position model. The record is from RNAcentral.